GAAUUCGCCCUUAGAGUUUGAUCCUGGCUCAGGAUGAACGCUGGCGGCGUGCCUAACACAUGCAAGUCGAACGGUUAAGGCGGCUUCGGCCGCGUAUAAAGUGGCGAACGGGUGAGUAACGCGUGACCGACCUUCCCCCCGCACCGGGACAACCGCGGGAAACCGCGGCUGAUACCGGGUACUCCGGGGCCUUCGCAUGAAGGCCCCGGGAAAGCUCCGGCGGCGGGGGAUGGGGUCGCGUCCCAUCAGGUAGUAGGCGGGGCAACGGCCCACCUAGCCGACGACGGGUAGCCGGGUUGAGAGACCGACCGGCCACAUUGGGACUGAGAUACGGCCCAGACUCCUACGGGAGGCAGCAGUGGGGAAUUUUGCGCAAUGGGGGCAACCCUGACGCAGCAACGCCGCGUGCGGGACGACAGCCUUCGGGUUGUAAACCGCUUUCAGCAGGGAAGAACCUAUGACGGUACCUGCAGAAGAAGCCCCGGCUAACUACGUGCCAGCAGCCGCGGUAAUACGUAGGGGGCGAGCGUUAUCCGGAAUGAUUGGGCGUAAAGCGCGCGCAGGCGGCCGCUCAAGCGGGACCUCUAACCCCGGGGCUCAACCCCGGGCCGGGUCCCGAACUGGGCGGCUCGAGUGCGGUAGGGGAGAGCGGAAUUCCAAGUGUAGCGGUGAAAUGCGCAGAUAUUUGGAAGAACACCGAUGGCGAAGGCAGCUCUCUGGGCCGUCACUGACGCUGAGGCGCGAAAGCUGGGGGAGCGAACAGGAUUAGAUACCCUGGUAGUCCACGCCGUAAGCGAUGAAUACUAGGUGUUGGGGGAGCAAAGCUCUUCGGUGCCGCAGCAAACGCAAUAAGUAUUCCACCUGGGGAGUACGUUCGCAAGAAUGAAACUCAAAGGAAUUGACGGGGACCCGCACAAGCGGUGGAGCAUGUGGUUUAAUUUGAAGCAACGCGAAGAACCUUACCAAGUCUUGACAUCCUUUCGACCAGCUCGUAAUGGAGCUUUUCCCUUCGGGGACGGGAGAGACAGGUGGUGCAUGGUUGUCGUCAGCUCGUGUCGUGAGAUGUUGGGUUAAGUCCCGCAACGAGCGCAACCCCUAUUGUCAGUAGCCAGCAGGUGAAGCUGGGCACUCUGAUGAGACUGCCGGGGAUAACCCGGAGGAAGGCGGGGACGACGUCAAAUCAUCAUGCCCCUUAUGAUUUGGGCUACACACGUGCUACAAUGGCGUAAACAAAGGGAAGCGAGCCCGCGAGGGGGAGCAAAUCCCAAAAAUAACGUCCCAGUUCGGACUGCAGUCUGCAACUCGACUGCACGAAGCUGGAAUCGCUAGUAAUC
This 1334-nucleotide ribosomal RNA is filed under the name uncultured bacterium. RNAcentral's name for it is "bacterial SSU rRNA". It matches the Rfam family "Bacterial small subunit ribosomal RNA", at positions 1 to 1343 of the family's 1533-position model. The record is from RNAcentral.